CCGUGCUAGACGGGGAGUUAGCGGUGCCCUGUAACCCGCAAUCCGCUAUAGCGGGGUUGAGGCUUAUUUGAGGCCGGUUCUCUUUAGGGUCUGGCCAUCGCGAGCGGCGUGGAAGGUUUGGUCCUGCGCAAUGAGAACUC
This 140-nucleotide signal recognition particle RNA is filed under the name Bacillota bacterium. RNAcentral's name for it is "Firmicutes bacterium (anaerobic digester metagenome) partial signal recognition particle sRNA large type". It matches the Rfam family "Bacterial large signal recognition particle RNA", at positions 1 to 137 of the family's 256-position model. Rfam says of the family: The signal recognition particle (SRP) is a universally conserved ribonucleoprotein involved in the co-translational targeting of proteins to membranes. Archaeal SRP consists of a 7S RNA and homologues of the eukaryotic SRP19 and SRP54 proteins. Lineage: Bacteria; Bacillati; Bacillota. The record is from RNAcentral.